ACUGGGUGCAGUGGUGCACACUUGUAAUACUAACACCUGGGAGGCUGAAGUGAGAAGAUCACUUCAGCUCAGGAGCUUCAGGUCAGCCUGGGUAACAUAGUAAGAACUUAUCUCAA
This 116-nucleotide small RNA is filed under the name Marmota monax (woodchuck). Lineage: Eukaryota; Metazoa; Chordata; Mammalia; Rodentia; Sciuridae. The record is from RNAcentral.